This 253-nucleotide ribosomal RNA is filed under the name uncultured bacterium. RNAcentral's name for it is "partial 16S ribosomal RNA". It matches the Rfam family "Bacterial small subunit ribosomal RNA", at positions 524 to 776 of the family's 1533-position model. The record is from RNAcentral.
UACGAAGGGGGCUAGCGUUGCUCGGAAUUACUGGGCGUAAAGCGCGCGUAGGCGGACCUGCAAGUCGGGGGUGAAAGCCCGAGGCUCAACCUCGGAACUGCCUUCGAUACUGCGGGUCUCGAGUCCGGGAGAGGUGAGUGGAAUUCCUAGUGUAGAGGUGAAAUGCGUAGAUAUUGGGAGGAACACCAGUGGCGAAGGCGGCUCACUGGACCGGUACUGACGCUGAUGCGCGAAAGCGUGGGGAGCAAACAGG